RNAcentral lists this ribosomal RNA (255 nucleotides) under uncultured bacterium. RNAcentral describes it as "partial 16S ribosomal RNA". It matches the Rfam family "Bacterial small subunit ribosomal RNA", at positions 524 to 776 of the family's 1533-position model. The record is from RNAcentral.
UACGAAGGGGGCUAGCGUUGCUCGGAAUCACUGGGCGUAAAGGGUGCGUAGGCGGGUCUUUUAAGUCAGGGGUGAAAUCCUGGAGCUCAACUCCAGAACUGCCUUUGAUACUGAAGAUCUUGAGUUCGGGAGAGGUGAGUGGAACUGCGAGUGUAGAGGUGAAAUUCGUAGAUAUCGGGAGGAACACCAGUGGCGAAGGCGGCGAUCUGGGAAGAUACUGACGCUGAGGUGCGAAAAGCGUGGGGAGCAAACAGG